Molecule: ribosomal RNA, 500 nt
Filed under: uncultured bacterium
Lineage: Bacteria
Description: bacterial SSU rRNA
Rfam family: Bacterial small subunit ribosomal RNA
Source: RNAcentral
ACUCAAAUGAAUUGACGGGGGCCCGCACAAGCAGCGGAGCAUGUGGUUUAAUUCGAAGCAACGCGAAGAACCUUACCAGGUCUUGACAUCCAGUUAAAGCCGUAGAGAUACGGUGUGCCCUUCGGGGCGAACUGAGACAGGUGGUGCAUGGUUGUCGUCAGCUCGUGUCGUGAGAUGUUGGGUUAAGUCCCGCAACGAGCGCAACCCUUAUUUUUAGUUACUAACGGGUAAAGCCGAGGACUCUAAAGAGACUGCCGGGGACAACUCGGAGGAAGGUGGGGACGACGUCAAAUCAUCAUGCCCCUUAUGACCUGGGCUACACACGUGCUACAAUGGCCACUACAGAGAGGAGCGAGCCCGAGAGGGGGAGCGGAUCUGAUAAAAGUGGUCCCAGUUCAGAUUGUGGGCUGCAACCCGCCCACAUGAAGUCGGAGUUGCUAGUAAUCGCGGAUCAGCAUGCCGCGGUGAAUACGUUCCCGGGCCUUGUACACACCGCCCGU